RNAcentral lists this transfer-messenger RNA (370 nucleotides) under Saprospiraceae. RNAcentral's name for it is "JADKGY01 sp016721905 Standard tmRNA". It matches the Rfam family "transfer-messenger RNA". From Rfam's summary of the family: Bacterial tmRNA, also known as 10Sa RNA or SsrA, is named for its dual tRNA and mRNA-like properties. Its role is to liberate the mRNA from a stalled ribosome. RNAcentral also lists the same sequence under 1 other name. Lineage: Bacteria; Pseudomonadati; Bacteroidota; Saprospiria; Saprospirales. The record is from RNAcentral.
GGGGCUGACAGGAAUCGACAGUAAAUGUAUCGUGUCAGUAAGCAUGCCGGGGAAUGAUAGUUCACCCCGUUACCAAAUGAUUAUCGACCAACAAUCGGCGAUCGUUCUUUCGCUAUGGCAGCCUAAUUCUAGGUAGUUAGCUUGCCUUUGUGCUACGGUUUGAUUUCUGCUACAAAAUCUGACGCACACCAUAAAAUGCAGACUAAGCCAAGGGGAUGUCCUGACCCAAGGCCGACAAUCAAAGGGAAUCGGAUGGGAUCGCGUUGUUGCAGUACCUGAAACCAUCUUAAAUCCAGAUCUGCAAAUAAGCAUGUAGAAAACUGAUGUGAGCUUUAUCUGGACGGGGGUUCAAUUCCCCCCAGCUCCACCA